UUGGAUCACUGUAGAACUUAUAGCGGACAGAUUUUUUCCGCCAUUGAAUUCACCAACUCGUGCUCCUUUGAUUGCCAAUACCGGAUUCAUAGACCCGUCAAAGUUCUCGGCUUGUAAAUCCCACAAUUUCUUUACCCGUGGUUCGUGCUGUCAAUGUUUGGACCUCGCUACAGGACUUAGCAACUCCCAAAAUAUCUGUAAUAUAUUACCAUGUAAUAUAAGUAAUACACCCUAAUGAAUCAUGAUUAAACGAGUAUUCAAAGUA
Megalopta genalis is the source of this 265-nucleotide long non-coding RNA. RefSeq lists it as uncharacterized. Lineage: Eukaryota; Metazoa; Arthropoda; Insecta; Hymenoptera; Halictidae. The record is from RefSeq and is a predicted model, not a curated record.